Molecule: transfer RNA, 73 nt
Filed under: Ovis aries (sheep)
Lineage: Eukaryota; Metazoa; Chordata; Mammalia; Artiodactyla; Bovidae
Rfam family: tRNA
About the family: Transfer RNA (tRNA) molecules are approximately 80 nucleotides in length. Their secondary structure includes four short double-helical elements and three loops (D, anti-codon, and T loops).
Source: Rfam by way of RNAcentral
UCCCUGGUGGUCCAGUGGCUAAGGCUCUGCACUCCCAAUGCAAGGGCCCUAGGUUCAAUCCCUGAUCAGGGGA